Molecule: long non-coding RNA, 460 nt
Organism: Leopardus geoffroyi (Geoffroy's cat)
Lineage: Eukaryota; Metazoa; Chordata; Mammalia; Carnivora; Felidae
Exons: 2
Source: RefSeq, a predicted model, not a curated record
CUUAAAAAAAUAAAAAUCUUAAAAAAAAAUUAGAUAUAAUUUACAUACCAUAAAACUCAUCUGUUCAAAGUGUAUAAUUCAGUGGUUUUUAGUAUGUUCAGAGCUGUGAACCCGUCACCAGAACCUAAAUUUAGGGCAUCCUCCCCUCACCCCUAGACCCAGAGAGAAACCCUAUACCCAUCGGCAGCCCCUCCCCAUUCCUCUCCACAUUCUAGAAACCUACCGCUCUGCUUUUUGUAUCUAUAGGUUUUCCCAUUCCGGACUCUCAUGCAAAUGGAACCAGCCUGUGGUCUUUUGUAGCUGGCUCCUUGCACUUAGCAUGACGUUUUCGAAGUUCCUCCAUGUUGUAGCAUCUAUCAGGACCUCAUUCCUUUUUCCGGCUGAAUACUACUCCACCGUACGGGUGAACCACAUUUCAUUUGUCCAUCCAUCCGUCGAUGAACAUUUGGUUUGCUUCCAC